GUUAAUAUGCAAGUAUGGAUCAAUGCAAAAGGUAAUGUGCAAAUGGGGUCUUUUUGAAUUGUCUAUGCACCUUAAAUUGCAGAGAAAAAAAAGACUAGACAUUAAUGGAAAUGAAGAUGUGACCUUAACAAGGGCAGAAAGAUCAACAACAUGCUUGGUUUGGACAACAACACAAGCUUGUGAAAAAUUAAGGUUAUGUGCAUAGGUUCCAUAUGGUUGUUGUUGUCAUAGGUUUUAGAGACAGUGUGGCAUUUGAAGAUCACAUCUUGUUUUGGUUUCUUGGACAGUUUUGAUCAAAUCAUGUAUGAUUUGGUUUGUAGCUGUAGGUAUAAAUUAGGAUGCUAGUAGUAGUAGUAGUUUUCUUUGGUUGUAGUUGGAAUUAUUGUCACUUAUGUGAUUGAAUUUUAGUAAGUAAUUAAUGUUCUUCGUAAAUGUUAUAAAUUGUAA
RNAcentral lists this long non-coding RNA (447 nucleotides) under Trifolium pratense (red clover). Its description in RNAcentral is "long non-coding RNA (TPRA_LNC003351)". The record is from RNAcentral. Lineage: Eukaryota; Viridiplantae; Streptophyta; Magnoliopsida; Fabales; Fabaceae.